AGUGAACACUGGCGGCAGGCUUAACGCAUGCAAGUCGAGCGGGCAUCUUCGGAUGUCAUCGGCAGACGGGUGAGUAACACGUGGGAACGUACCCUUCGGUCCGGAACAACUCUGGGAAACUGGAGCUCAUACCGGAAACGCCCUUAAGGGGAAAGGUGUCCUGCGGAAGGAUGCGGCGGCGCCUGAUUCGUUGGUUGGUGGGCUAACGGCCUACCAAGGUUACGAGCGGUAGCUGGUAUGAGAGGAUGAUCAGCCACUCUGACACUGGGACGCGGCCGAGACUCCUACGGGAGGGGGCAGUGGGGGAUACAGGAAAAUGGGCGCGAGGCAGAACGAGCCAUGGCGGGUGAGUGAUGAAGGCGGUAGGGUUGUACAGCUCGUUUGUCCGGGACGGUAAUGACGGUACCGGAAGAAUAAGCCCCGGCUAACUUCGUG
This 435-nucleotide ribosomal RNA is filed under the name uncultured bacterium. RNAcentral's name for it is "partial 16S ribosomal RNA". It matches the Rfam family "Bacterial small subunit ribosomal RNA", at positions 30 to 507 of the family's 1533-position model. The record is from RNAcentral.